UUCAGAACAAGCACCUCCCAAGAAAAUCGGACAGAAAUCUCUUCAAAUUCGUGAUAUUGUAAAAACUUUUUUUUCCUUCAUGUUUGCAGGACUGAUUGGACUCAUAAUCAUUACAUGCUGUUUCUGGUAUUCAAGACUUCACUAAAAAUGUGUCCAAGUAUGUUUUAACGCCACUAUCUUCAACCAAUCAAAUCACAGCUUCGGUAA
Carassius auratus (goldfish) is the source of this 207-nucleotide long non-coding RNA. RefSeq lists it as uncharacterized. The record is from RefSeq and is a predicted model, not a curated record. Lineage: Eukaryota; Metazoa; Chordata; Actinopteri; Cypriniformes; Cyprinidae. The transcript has 3 exons.